CCCUUAGAUGUUCUGGGCCGCACGCGUGCUACACUGAUGCAUUCAACGAGCCUAUCCUUGACCGACAGGUCCGGGUAAUCUUUGAAUCUGCAUCGUGACGGGGAUAGAUUAUUGCAAUUAUUAAUCUUCAACGAGGAAUGCCUAGUAGGCGCAAGUCAUCAGCUUGCGUCGAUUACGUCCCUGCCCUUUGUACACACCGCCCGUCGCUCCUACCGAUUGGGUGUGCUGGUGAAAUGUUCGGAUCGGCCGUUUGUCGCGGUUUCCGCGUCAUGUGGCUGAGAAGUUCAUUAAACCCUCCCACCUAGAGGAAGGAGAAGUCGUAACA
Molecule: ribosomal RNA, 325 nt
Filed under: uncultured eukaryote
Lineage: Eukaryota
Description: partial 18S ribosomal RNA
Rfam family: Eukaryotic small subunit ribosomal RNA
Source: RNAcentral